Molecule: long non-coding RNA, 2037 nt
Organism: Mauremys mutica (yellowpond turtle)
Lineage: Eukaryota; Metazoa; Chordata; Testudines; Geoemydidae
Exons: 3
Source: RefSeq, a predicted model, not a curated record
ACCCAGGGUGCGGUUUCCCAACUGCUUUGACCCACGGAACCACACUCUGCACUCAGCUAAAAAUAUAACUUCUUUUCUCAAAUAUUUUUACAUACCAGCAUGUUUUCUUUUAUAUCCUUUAUCAGUUUGCUAAACUUGCUGCUACUGCCUGUACCUUAAGAGUUAAUCUUUCUUGGCUCAAAUCUCACUACCUUCCUAGGUAGCUUUUCAACAUCCCAUACUCCUUUUUCCCUGCCUCUCCUCACUUUGACUCUUUCUCUGUGUUAAAAGUUAUAGUUUUUACAGAAACCUCCAAAAGAUAAAGCAAUUGAAAACAGAACAAAACAAGAAACGAAAAGAAAACAAGGCCCCAUGAGGAAACCUGCUUGUGAACACUGCAGGAACAUCAAAAGCACCAUGAGAUUGUCAUCUUCAUACAGAGGACCUUGAUUGCAAAGACGAUAAUGUGAUGGAACCAGAAGUACUUGCAGUUGUAGUUUGGUCAAGAAGCAGGAUGCUGGUGACAAAAGGGCAUAUUGACAAACAAGGAGAGAGAUUAAGCAGAUGGGGGACCAUAUGAAGUGGUUGGAAAAGCCCCCAGAAGCAGACUGAUAACAGUCAGCACCGUGACAGCAAAGAGAGAGUAAAAAGACACACAGAUUUGUUUUUUUAAACAUGCAUAAGUAGGUGACAUUUUUGCCUGUGCAGACAGUGAAGAUUGAAUGCCACACUGUUGUUUUUGAGCAGGCAGAAAUAAAACGUGGGUUAUCAUGCAAAUAUGCUCAUCAACAGUCUUGGUGUAAUCAUCAAAUUUGUCAAACUUUUAAAGAAAAUAAUGACUGCCUUAAAAGUGGCAAUGUGAGCUAGCAGAUACAGAUUAAACUGAAGUGUUAAAAGCCUAAGGCAUCCAUGUAACACAGGCAGAAUAUCUACCUAUCCAGGUAAAUGGGACCAGAGUAAUGACCCAAUGAAAACACAAUAAAAAAGUAAAUUCCAAUGACUGAACCAAAUUCACCCACUUACAACGAUGAGGUGACACGUAAACUUAUGCUGUCAUUUAUGUUACCUCUGAAUUUGGCCUUAAAAAUCUAUAAUCAUCAUCCAGUUCCCUAGCAUAUGCCUGCAUUCCACAAAGACAUAACAAAAUGCAAAUUCUCAACAGCGAGGAUAAUUAACCAUUGGAUCAGUUUAGCAAGGGAUGUGGUAUGUGCUCCAUUAUUUGGAGUCUUUAAAUCAAGACUGGAUGACUUUCUACAAUAGAAUGUUCUAGCUCAACCAAGAAUGAUUGGUCAUAAUGCAGGUCUCUUAAUGGGUGACAUUUUAUCACCUGUGUUAUGUAUGAGUCAGACUAGAUGGUCAUAAUGGUCUCUUCUAGCCUGACAAUCUAUGAAAGACCUUGCAGGACAAGACAGUGACUAGAGAUAAUACAAAUCAACAGUAGCAUUUAAAUCACUCUGCUUUUGAUAUGUGAUCAAAGACUGGAAAUCACCUACAGGAAUACACUAAAUAUUCAGACAAGCAGCAUCCCCCCCUCCUUUUUUUUAAUUUGCUAAUGCAACAUUUAUACAAGAACUGCCAAUUGACAAAGUCAAAAGCAUCUGAAGCUUGGUGACUAUCAAACUUCUGAGACCUCUUAACACUCUAGACAUCAUCAGACACUGUGAAAAAUGCUGAAGACAGGAUAAUGUGACCCUGAACUGAGAAGAUUAAUAACCGGUGAAUAGCUAAACUAACAUGUGAUAGUUGGCUAUGCUAAUUUCUACAGCUAUCCUAAUGGAUUGUUUGAAUAGUUUAUGGGGCAUGGCCAAAAUUCAUUUUAGUAAGGAACGGGGAAAGGUCAGAGCAAAGGUGAACGGUUAAACAAAAUCUUCUGUUUUACAAUAUCACAGCAUCCACCUGCAUUGCUUUCACUUAUAUGCUGUCAAUCUUACAGGAAGGCAACAGCACAGAAUGGUCCACAUAUCAUAAAUGAGACUCAGGAUUGCUCUUUUCAUACACCAGUAUAUGUUUCCAUGUUUUCUGUACAAUGAACCAUUGUACAUGUGUGCUCUCAAGCAA